This 1205-nucleotide long non-coding RNA is filed under the name Homo sapiens (human). Its description in RNAcentral is "HSALNT0252925". Lineage: Eukaryota; Metazoa; Chordata; Mammalia; Primates; Hominidae. The record is from RNAcentral.
AUAAUGCCUUCCCUGGACAUUCUUCAGAAAUGAAGGGCCGGCGGCGGCGGGGUGGCUCAGUCCCCAGUCUCAGACGCGCCGCGCAGCAGGUCGGAGCAGCCUCCCCGGGAGGAUGUCCAGCGGCAGCGCUCCUCGCUCCAGCCCUUGGGGAUCUUCCGCUGAGGCAUUGAAGGCAGGAAGAAGGGGUCCGUCAUCGGCUCGCCGGGCUGCGCGCCACCUCUGCUAUCUUGCGGAAAGAGGAGCGGGAGGAUGCAGCCGCAAAUCCCGAGCCGGAUCCUCGUGCCGGACGGAAGGCGUGGAAGCGGGAGGGGCCUUCGUGUGAAAAUCCCUUGUGGGGUUUGGUGUUUCACUUUUUAAAGGACGCGACCCACGCAGACCACAGCCGAGCCCGCCGGACCCCGGGACUACGGAAGCCAUCCCGUCCGGCCACCCACACCCGCGCCGCGGCUGGGGCUUGGGUUGGGGACUGUGGCGGCGAAGAAGCCGGGGAGUCUGGAAGGGAUUCAGAGUCUCACACGCGCCCCCAAGCCUCCUACCACCACACCAAAGUGCUGGUUCCUCGAUUUCCAGGGUGGGGUAAAGUGACCGAGCAAAGGGGAUGGUGUGUUUGUGUGUGCGCGCGCAUAUACGCGCGCGCGUGUUGUGCAUCCGUGUAAUGAAAGUUGGGUCAUGGGUCAACCCGGGAGUAGAGCGAGAUGGAGACCUAAAGAGAGAAAGCUGAGAGAAGGGGGAAGACAUGGACAGGGUAAGAGAGAGAGAAAGGAGAGAGAGAAGAAAGGGAAAAGAGGAGCGGGGAGAGAAAAGAGAGGCAGGAGAGAGAAUGAGGGGACAGAAGAGAGUAGGGAGACGAGAAGGCGGAGGACAGAAGAAAUGGGGGAGAGGGAAGAGGACAGAGAGGCUGCGCGCCUCUGAAUACGCCAAGUCCAGCAGAGCUGGAGGCCUGUGAGAGGAGCUGCAAGCUUGAGCAAAGGGAGAGAGGUGAGCGGAUGAAGGGAGAUUGGCAGCCAUGCAGAACUGCAUACAACUUAGGAUUCAUAACUACAUAUAUACGGAUAGAAGUGCAUGAACAGAAAAUCUGCCCUUCUGGAAUACCAAAUGCAAAAUUAAAGUGACUACAAGCAGAAUUUGGAGAAAAAAAUAAAAGAUGCAAUAUAGUUUUUAAAAUCAUUGUUAAAAUAUAAUGAGUCUGUACUUUGCUUAAACAA